RNAcentral lists this ribosomal RNA (35 nucleotides) under Oxytropis pilosa. RNAcentral describes it as "partial 25S ribosomal RNA". Lineage: Eukaryota; Viridiplantae; Streptophyta; Magnoliopsida; Fabales; Fabaceae. The record is from RNAcentral.
GAGACCUCAGGUCAGGCGGGGCUACCCGCUGAGUA